RNAcentral lists this ribosomal RNA (408 nucleotides) under uncultured bacterium. RNAcentral describes it as "partial 16S ribosomal RNA". It matches the Rfam family "Bacterial small subunit ribosomal RNA", at positions 28 to 526 of the family's 1533-position model. The record is from RNAcentral.
GACGAACGCUGGCGGCGUGCUUAACACAUGCAAGUCGAACGAAGUGGCGAACGGGUGAGUAAUACGUGGGUAACCUGCCCUCCUUACUGGGAUAAGCCUUGGAAACUGGGUCUAAUACCGAAUAAAGGGGGCUGGGCUCGCGGCCUAUCAGCUUGUCGGUGGGGUGAUGGCCUACCAAGGCGGUGAAGGGUAGCCGGCCUGAGAGGGUGAGCGGCCACAUUGGGACUGAGAUACGGCACAGAGUGCUACGGGGGGCAGCAGGGGGGGAUAUUGCGCAAUGGGCGAAAGCCGGAUGCAGGGACGCCGCGUGGGGGAUGAAGGCUUGCGGGUUGGAAACCUCUUUCGAUAUCGAGCGGGUAGGUGGAGAAGAAGCGCCGGCUAACUACGUGCCAGCAGCCGCGGUAAUAC